This 492-nucleotide ribosomal RNA is filed under the name uncultured bacterium. RNAcentral's name for it is "partial 16S ribosomal RNA". It matches the Rfam family "Bacterial small subunit ribosomal RNA", at positions 29 to 507 of the family's 1533-position model. The record is from RNAcentral.
AGUGAACGCUGGCGGUAGGCCUAACACAUGCAAGUCGAACGGCAGCACAGUAAGGGCUUGCUCUUACGGGUGGCGAGUGGCGGACGGGUGAGGAAUACAUCGGAAUCUACUUUUUCGUGGGGGAUAACGUAGGGAAACUUACGCUAAUACCGCAUACGACCUACGGCUGAAAGCAGGGGAUCUUCGGACCUUGCGCGACUGAAUGAGCCGAUGUCGGAUUAGCUAGUUGGCGGGGUAAAGGCCCACCAAGGCGACGAUCCGUAGCUGGUCUGAGAGGAUGAUCAGCCACACUGGAACUGAGACACGGUCCAGACUCCUACGGGAGGCAGCAGUGGGGAAUAUUGGACAAUGGGCGCAAGCCUGAUCCAGCCAUACCGCGUGGGUGAAGAAGGCCUUCGGGUUGUAAAGCCCUUUUGUUGGGAAAGAAAAGCAGCAGGUUAAUACCCCGCUGUUCUGACGGUACCCAAAGAAUAAGCACCGGCUAACUUCGUG